UGUGUUGCUUACCUACGAAAAGGAAUUCGAUCGUUCGCUUGCCCCCUUUCCGCCCGACGCCCUCUGUGGGCGCGGGGUGGACACCAGGCCGGCUCCGUGUUUCCUGGCACGCCUCGCCCCCGUGCGUUGGCUGCCUUGGCGCACGGUGCUGUUGCCCGUUCUCUCGGAUGCGGAACGUCGUGCGCGGGUGCGGGGGCCUCGGCCUCCGCUAGCCCGAGCUGUGCAUUUGUCCCUGGACACGAACGACGGUCGCGCCCGUCUUGACCCCGGGGUCCUCGGGCCGCGAGGGGCUCAUGCGGGCGUCGACGUCGCCGAAGGAAUGCUACCUGGUUGAUCCUGCCAGUAGUCAU
Molecule: unclassified non-coding RNA, 350 nt
Filed under: Sclerocarya birrea subsp. caffra
Lineage: Eukaryota; Viridiplantae; Streptophyta; Magnoliopsida; Sapindales; Anacardiaceae
Description: partial external transcribed spacer
Source: RNAcentral